Molecule: long non-coding RNA, 270 nt
Organism: Oryzias melastigma (Indian medaka)
Lineage: Eukaryota; Metazoa; Chordata; Actinopteri; Beloniformes; Adrianichthyidae
Exons: 3
Source: RefSeq, a predicted model, not a curated record
AGGAUGAAGUUCUGGAUAUUUUGGGGAUUGCUGGUAACUUUUGUCUCCAUAAGGGAGACAGAAUUUCAAUGCAAAAAAUGGCCAUUCGACAACUUCUGCCAAAAUUACGCAGAGAAUCAGACUUUCAGGCAGGAAUGCAACGACACGAGUCAAGAUGGUGAGCAGAACAGUAAAUUUAUGUUUAGUUAUUAUUAGUAUAAAGUAUGAUGGUUAUGACUUUCACCUUUCUUUAUUAACUGUGUUGCUGAUUGACCCGAGGUCAGCCUAAAG